CAUAGAUCUCGGCCUGCCACAACGCGAGUGGAUCGCUCCCCUGCAAAACAAGGAGAACUCGAUUACGAUUCACAGAAUUAUCAGGUAACUUUUCUAUGCCAGUAUGGAGAAAUCAUUCACUAUUUUUAUUUUUGAAUUUAUUUCAAGUGAAUCACUACAUUAACUAAUAGGAUUAAUAUUUUAAAGUCUUUUAGGAGCUUUUAUUAAAAAUUUUUUUUUUAAA
Lemur catta (Ring-tailed lemur) is the source of this 223-nucleotide long non-coding RNA. RefSeq lists it as uncharacterized. The record is from RefSeq and is a predicted model, not a curated record. Lineage: Eukaryota; Metazoa; Chordata; Mammalia; Primates; Lemuridae. The transcript is spliced from 2 exons.